RNAcentral lists this long non-coding RNA (8994 nucleotides) under Hordeum vulgare. RNAcentral's name for it is "long non-coding RNA (HVUL_LNC004137)". Lineage: Eukaryota; Viridiplantae; Streptophyta; Magnoliopsida; Poales; Poaceae. The record is from RNAcentral.
UUCGGGCCUUGGGCUGCUAAGGUAAGCACAUGUAGCCCUAUCCAAUGACCACACGCAUAACAUGUUAUAUUGCGCCCUUACCCAUUGGGACAGUUCGAACCGGAUUCGGCUCGUAGUAUUUUAUCUGUCCAACGAGUUUAGUCAAUUAUCCAGAAUUUACAAAUUUCAGAAAAGGUCCUAAUCUUCAUGCAUACUAGUUGUUGGGGCGCAGCCUUGCUGCGUCGCGUGAGGCGUGCCGUUGCGGUGCUAGGUAGGCACUCACUCUUUUCUCUUGCUUCUUUGUGAUUUGUGUGAUGCAUCUGCAUGCAAGCUAUGAGAGCCGCUUCAACAAAAUAUAUAGGUUGUUCACGUGAGAAUAAACCGCAUCAUAUGCAAUAGCAUAGUCAGGUGCAAGUUGCUGGUUGGAAAAACAAGAAAAAAAAGAACUGAUGAUAGAUUGUUUUGAUGAGCAAUAUAUUGGUGCUUAGUAGAAUUAAGCUCACAUGACUUGUUCUUACAGAUUUGUAAAUGAUUAUAGAAGAAUAUAAGAUUCCUACAAACAAUAGAUGAGACAUAAGUAUACUAAGUGAUUGCGAGAUGACCGAGGCUGAGCCCCGCCACCUCCUCCAUCCUUGCUGCCAAAACGGGGAUGAGUCCCUGAACCUCAUCACCACGCCCAGAUUAUCUCCUCCUCCCACUCCGAUUUCUCCGUUGGAAGCUCAUUCCUGCAAGGAUGUCGUCUCUGUCGCCCUCUUUCUUGGCCUGACAGUGGGAGUCCAGUAGCAAGCAAAAGGUGAUACAAACGGGUAAGUGUUUGUGGUAUCUUGAUGUCACAAACAGAUACCAAGAUGAAAAUGCAUGAUACAAGGCACCGUACCUUUAUCUGUUAGAUCUGAAAUGCAAAGAAAACAAAAAUAAACAAGUAAAUUUCAUCAAAGUAGUAAUGCAUCCUAACAAAAAAAUGUGCAAAAAGUUGUAUGCAAGAGUUAUGAUUUAUAAGGCUUAGCUGCACAAUUCUUUUCAACAAAAUAUCUAUAGAUACAAAUGGCAAGAGAAAUGUUGUACUGUUCACAACAUGGUUAGAGUGCGGCUUCCAAUGUUAUAAAUCAGUCGCCAAAUGUUUCCAGCAAGAAAGUUCUUGCUGACAAGGAGGUAAAAUACUAUUUUAUUUUCAUUUGACAUUGACAUAACAAAAGGUUGGUAAAUAUCAUGAAAUGCUUUCCCCUUAAACAAUUAUGUUCCUCACAGGAAACAUUUGAUGGCAUCAAUCUUUUUUCAAUUAUGACAAUCAUUUUUCUUGUUAGUCCCGACGACACCUUUGAUUUCAACAUCUUAUCAAAUUGUUGCAGAGGACUAAUAUUAUAUAGCAGAUACAGAUCCAUUAGAAAAAUGCCGUGACCAGAAAUUUGAUUUUUGCAUCUUAUCAAAUUGUUGUUGGUCCUGACCACACCUUUGUAUUGUGUUACCUUUCUUGCACAGGAGACGCUCUUAUGUGUUUUGAAGUCGUAACUCGGAAUUUCAACAACUUUACCAUGUUUUAGUGUUUCCAUACAAGAGAGUAGUAAAUCGGUACCAAAUACAUCUGCAAUUAGGACAGGAGCAGCAUCAAUAACAAAGUGAGUCCACAUCUCUUGCCAAUAGCACAAAAACACAUCAGGUUCUCAUGAAACAUGCGUUGUACCUAGAUGAUCAAAGUUAUAAUCAUGAACACAGAAUGAUUCCUCGUUAGAUAGUCCGUAAUAAAAUGACUCUUGUGAUAUUUGAGGUCAAAAUUCUUAUUGCUUGAGAGAUUUUACCCAUCAUAUGAUUAUAAUAAAAUUAUAGCAAAGGAUGUUGAUAAAAAAAUUGAUUGCAUAGUUAAUGAAACCACACACAUAUAAAACAAGAGAAAUAAACUAUUAGUGUCUUUAUCGAGAAAAACUGUAUUGUCCAAUUAUCAUAAGAAGCGUAAUCAGAGUUGUAAUACACAAAACCUGUGUAAUAACAAUUAUACACUGAUUGCAUAGUUGAUUGAAGAUAAUUUUGCAAACAGUAUUUUAACUUGAAGAAAGCAAAAAAGGUUUGUUGUCAUCAUAUGAUGGGUGAGGUGCAUUUGGUGUAGAAAGGUUGUACCAUGUCAGUGACUACAAUUCACUGAACUUCUGCUACCAAACAGAAAGAACAGAACCCAUUGAGUAAAAACAAAUGGUUCCUGGUGCCCAUUCCUCCAGGCUUCACAUCAUUGGUAGCUCCUCCCCCGACAAAGAAUCUUUCAGGUCCAGCUCGUGCAAACGGAGUGCUGGAUGAUGGACCCGAGUCGCGGUAGCAUUAAGCACUUCGCGUGUCGAGUACGUUCCCAUCUAGUGUUCAACAAACCUACAGUCACCUAGAUAUAAAGUAAAAGGGUAAAAUUAGGAUGUUAAAAAGCCACUUAGAUCCACGUCUUGGUGCAAAAUAAUUAUUAAAUGAUUAUACAAGCCUUUAAGAUGAAGAUCCCAAUAACAAAAAUGUCCAUAAAUGAUAAGACAUUGCGAUAAAAUAAUUUUGUCUUCUAUAAAUGUAUCCUUGAAAAGACAGAAUAUAAGUGUGUGAAAACAGUUUGUCCAGAAGACCAACCUUAUUCCUUUCCUCAGGCGCUAUGCAUACAUUUUGAGAGCUCAUGGCAAGACCAUCGACUUCUUGCACUCUAUCUGAUCCUACUAUCUCUAUGGCAAAAUCAAGGUCGCAAACCUGAAAAUACCAUGAGCGUAUAUAACUAACUGGAACACUGAACAAAAUGGUCCAGAUCCAAUCGUAUCUAUAGCUGAUGCAAUGAGAAAGGAAACUUUGCAAUUUUCUCCAUCAUUAUAAUCGGAAAAGUCAUGGCCGAGUCACUGGAAUGGCAAUGCCAAGAACUGAAUAAUUUGUUCAGGCAAUUAAAAAUAGCAUCAUGAAUUUUGUCGCACACAAACUCAUGCAUGCUGACUCGGCGAAUACUUAAUCCUAAGGGUCAGACUGCAGGGUCUAAGACAAUAGUCCGUUUUUGCAACAGACCAAAUGAGUACACAACCCAACCUUCAGAAAGUACUGCUGCAAUGUGCCUCUCCCUAAGUUCUACAAAAAAUUCAGCACAUACCAGACGCAAGAUAAAUUACAACAAGGUUGAAUAUCAUCAUAAAACUCGCAGAUGCAAAGAGUAUAGUUACUCUUCCUGUGUAGUGUUUAGGCACUAAGAGUUAGGAUCUACUUUGCACGUUCAUUUCUCGUGUCAUAAAGCUACGUCUUGUUAACUUGGUUCGAUUUGCAUGUCACAGACGUUGAACUAAAUGCAUAACCCUAGAUGGAAGCAGCAAUGCUUGGGCUGUCGCUGAGCUCACCAAGAGGAUUUUAGCAUGCGCAUUAGCCAUGUAUAUCAUCUAAAAACAACAAACUCGACAUAACAAGUAGAGCUUAACCUGGAAGCUAUCACAAUGUACAAGAUCUCCUAAUGCAAUUCUCUUCUCAUAAUCCACCAUUGGACCAUCUGUGGAACAUCUGCACAGUUUGGGACAGUAAUCGGGUUAAUUCAAAUGCCUUCAGCAGAAAAUAAAAAGGGCUCCAAGCAUAAAAGCGUAAUGAAAAAUGAAACCUUUAACCGGAUCAGCCGAUAACCAAAUGAAUUGGCAUAUGGAAGAGGCUUAAAUAUCAUUGAAUGAGAAGAAUUAUAUGCUAAAUUUAUAAAUAACUGAGAUGAAUAUUAUAAAUUGUUUGGAUCUAAGUCUCCAACUUAGAGAAAAGUAAACGCGGGCUCCAAACCUAUCCUAUGAAAAAAACAUCAAGAUAAGUAACUAAGCUAAAAUUCUACCAUUUCUCACCGGAAGUGCAAAACCUUUUAACAUAAUAGUCGGAUGGUUUAGUUUUGCUUGGUCAGGUUUGCCUUUAAAUCAAUUUAACACUAAAAUGACCCAGAAUAGUCUAAUGCUCGAGAGACUUUUUCAUUUGCUGGCAAUGGAAGCUGGUUAAGUAGCAUUCAAAUUAAAGGGAAGAGGAUGUGAGCAUUAAGAAGGUGAGAACAUAUCCUCCAAUUCACAGAUUCACUUAUUUUCGUCAGCAGCGAUAUGUUCCUCAGCUUCUCCGAACAACAUGUGACAUGAAUGUAUGAUUAAAUAUCAUGAGACAAAAUAACGCAUGAACCGUACAGUGUAGAUCAGGAGAAGAUCAUCGAAAAAGAAAAAAACAAAGAAGGGGAAGAAAAAGAAAGUGAACAGCUAAAAUCAAAGGACCAAACACUCAACAAACAGCUAAAAUACCCCAACAAAAAUCCAAAGGAGCAGCAAAAGCAAGAAGAAGAAAUCAGAACAGAAAUAGGAGACGUCAAUCAUAUAAAGGGUAUGAAAGAAAUUAGCCAACUACUUGUAGACAAUAACAUAUUGGAUAUCCUCUUGCUCUUGUAAGGAAGUUGCUAAUCUAGGAUUAAGAAUCAACAUUUCGAUGGAAAACUGAAAGAGAAGUGUGGAUCUUACCUUGCCAAAUGAAGGGGCCUCAUCCUCGCCCCCACUCUCUCAUGACGCCACUGAAGAACAUGCCCCUGGGAAGCUCCAGUUUCAACAGUUAAACGAUCAGUUGCGAAAGUCAAAUAAUCCAUGCUCGAUUUUGAAGCUAGCAGUCUACCCAACACAUGGGUCCCCUAUCUGUAGCGCAUCUCAGACUAGGCAAACCAACCGGCAUUGGGAUCUCGCGGAAACCACGGAGGCUGGGGAUCAAAGAGACGAACCGUGGAACUCGCGGAGGCCGGGGACCUCGUUAGUGCCGGCCUUCCUGAAGCUACGAAAGUCGAGGGGGUUGACCACGACCACCAACGCCGGCUAAGACGCCGGUCAUCACCAUGCGGCGCAGACGAGGCACGGUGGAGACGAGCAACAUGAGAAGGCGGUGGUUGUUCUCCCCUCCCUCUCGGUUCGAUCUGGACGGCGGGAGCACCGCGUCUCCUAGGCUGCCGCCUCGCUCGGAGAAGAUGCCGCCGAAAGAAGAUGCAGACGAAAGAUAGAGAGAUGAUAGGUUGCGUGUGGUGGCAGAGAACGUGGAGUGUUUGGGUUGGGCUGCGUACGUGCGUACAGAGGCCUUUUACUUCCUUUAUAAGAUUUCUUUCCUUUUUUUCAUCGCUGCGUACAGUAAAGCCUUGCCGACGUGGAUAGCGCCAGCGUUCGCCCCUUCUGCGUAGCUUAUUGUGUUUGAUAAUAACUGUUUAACUGUAUGUCGGAUUGAAACACUUUAUAUAUGAAGCUUAACUAAAAUUUUACGUAGAUUAAUAAUUUCCAACAUUGAUCCAUGUUAAAAAUAUUUAAAAUGUUGGCUGCAUGAAGUUUGCAGAAAUACUAUUAUGUUGCAUAAUUGUUGUGUCAUUUUUUCCAUAGUAAAUACCCACAUGUUAUAUAUGAUUUUGGGGUAGAAAAAUCCAUAGAAUCCAUCUAUGCAAUUAGCUUUGUCAUUUGAACAAAUUUGUGUCUAUGCUAUUUUGUUUUGAUUCCCUUCUGUAUUUUGUGUGAUCUAAUAUGUGCAUCGAAAUUAAACAAACUUAAUAUUAAACAAACUUAAUAUUAAUAUUGUGUUGUGAACAAUUUAAACUUAAUUUUGUGUAGAUUCACAAUAUCCAACUUCCAUGCAUGUGUAAAAUAUUUAAACAUGUUGUUUGCAUUGUUUUGCGCAAAUGCCAUGUUAAAAUGAUUUAUUUCACAACAAAAUAACUGUAGCUCCAAUUUAAAUAAACCUUAUAUGGAAAAUAUUGUGUUAAUGUGCUCUACAUGAUUGUGGCAUUACAUGCAUAAUAGGUUGCAUCUACAUGCUCAAAUCUCUGUUGUAAGUGCAUCAUGAAUAUGUUUAAACUGUUAUUUUGUUUAAUAUUGUGUGGAUGAUUGCAUCUAGUCCAUCGGUCUUCCGUAUAUGGUUCCUUCAUGAGAAUUUCUCUAGGAUAUGUCUACUUUGAUGCCAAGCCUCUAGUUGCCAUGUAGAGUAUCAUUAACAAGUUCGUUUUUUGCUCCCAAUGUGCGAUCAUGUUAAAAACUACAAUCUGUUUUCUUAAAGUUUCAUUUUGUGAAGCUUGAAGUAAGAAAAUCAUGCCUAUUUUGAUUGUGCGAAAUGGAAUGAUUUGUAGUAGGCUAUGACUAGUUGCUGCUAGUAGGUUUCUCAUGCCAUGUAUGCCAUGCUUCGUUGUAGUUUGCAUCAUGUGAACAUGCUAAAAUGAUGUUGUUGUUUGGUGGGGUAAAAUAUUUCGGAGUGUCGUGUUGUGUUGAUGCUAGCUAUGAAUGUGUGCAUAUUUAGACCUUGCUAGUGUGAAAUGAAAUGAAGUGCAUCAUGACUACUACCAUGCGAUAAAUUUUCAUGCCAUUAUAUGACUUGUAGCAUGUGUUUUUCUUGAUGCAAAUAUGCCUUCAUGACAAAAACUGCACUGCUACAACUGAUAUUUUCACUAAGUUUGAAAUUGUGUUCAACUUGCCAUUUUGUGAGCUCUUUUCUAGUGAUCCAUGCUUCUAUUCAAUUUGUCGUUAAGGGGUAAUUGUUGUGCAUCUUGUCCACUACUGCCUCAUGUCUUGUUUGAGCAUUUUAGAUUCCUAUAGCUCGUUGUUUUGAUGUGCGCACAGUGAAAUGUUGCUGUUUUUGGGUCAAUUAUGUCUACUUUUAUUAGUUGUGUUUUUUGAAUUGUUGCUCCAUUUUGAACAUGUCAUAUAUGAAACUUGUUUAGAAUCUCAUGUAGUUUCAUAAUAUCUUGUUGCAUACAUGAUUUAACAUGCUUGUGGCUGUCAUUUGCAUACAUUUUGUAUUCAUGCUAUAUUAUCUUGUGUUGGUCAUAUCUUUUAGACUGUAACUCCGUUUUAAAUGGUCUAUAUAGGUAAAUUGACUAGAAGUAUGCAUAUAAUCACAUGGUCUACUUUAUUUUCCUGUUUAAUAAUUAUAAAAUGUGUUUAGGUCAGAUCUGGACCAAUUUUGAAAUUAACCUAUGGGGUGAUUUCAGAAAUGCUAUAUGUGGUUUCUGACCUCAUUUAAAAUGUCUAGAUAAUGUAGUUUAUUUGUGCUUCACCUCUUGCCAUGUUUAAAAACAUUUAUUAUUGUCGUGUACCAAACGGGAUGAACUAAGUAAUUCAAAUGUGGAGUUUCGUCAAUAUGCAACUCAUUGCAUAUUGGGCUUCACUUAAUGUGUAGAAGUUGAUUGUUGUGUUGUGUCGUGCCUUGCAUAAUUAAAAUCGACAUGCAUCAUAUUUGAUUGUGCAUCAUGUGAAGAAUAUGUUGUGGUGUUAUCGCGUGUUGAUUGUUUGUUUCUGGAUUGUUUCUUCUUGAUAGAGGUCCGAAACUGCUUUGGAGUGUGAGGAUUCGUUUGACUACGUUGGUUCAUCUACUUCACGAUUGCGUUCUUCUUCCAAGAGGGGUCUCAGGAAAGAUGAUCAUUUCCCUAGAUACCACUACUGUCAUUGCUAUGUUAGUUGUCUCAUUUCUAUCGCUAUCUCUCACUGCCUAACACCUGUUAUGUCAAGCCUCCCAUGAUUGCCAUGAGAAGCCUCUAAUCCCCUCCACAUCCCAGCAAACCUUUGUUUGGCAAUGUUACCGCUUUAUCAGCCCUUCUUAUAGCAUUGCUAUUUGCAGGUGCAAGUUGCUUCCCAUGUGACAACAUGGUUUCCUUGAUAUAUCACAAUUUUAUAGCUAUUUAAUCUAAUGCACCUAUACACUUGGUAAAGGUGGAAGGCUUGGUCUUCUGGCUCGGUGCUUUGUUCCAUCUUUGCCGGCCUACUUACUGGUGUACGAGUGUUCUGUUCUAUACUGAGCGCUCUAACAUGCUUGGCUUUGUUAUGGGACCCCCUUGAUUUUCAUUUUGGGAUAAAACUCUUCUGACCAGGCCUAACAUUGGUACUACAUUUGCCUAAUAGCUGAUAAAAAGCAUAGGACCCGCCGACACCCGUGGAUAAUUAAUCAACCCCCGGGCCAUUUCUCCUCUUGAGUGUUGGUCCAAACAGAUCCACUUGCAGGGGCCACCCGGGGAAACUCGGGGGAUUUCUAUCCGACCACCAUAUGUACUGCUCAUCAGGUAGUGCCCUGAGAAAGAGAUACACAUGGAUCCUAUUAGGAUCUCGCCUGCUGGGCGGCCUUGCUGGAUUUUUUUACCUUAUGCGCGGAAUUCUGAGGAUACUUUGGGCUAUCUCGAGGUUUAUAUUUUCUAUGCGCGGAAUUCUGAGGAUACUUUGGGCUAUCUCGAGGUUUAUAUUUUCUAUCAGAAUUGUCGAGGAGACUACGGGUUUCCAAGGUUGAGGUUAUUCCAUGCAGCUUGUGGUAGUUUGUGAUGGACUAGUUGGAGCACCCCUGCAGAGUUUAAUCUUUCAGAGAGACAUGCCCAAGGUAAUGUGGCAACUUGGAAACUUUUUUAACACCCGGUCAUAGCAAACUUGUAGUAAACUUAAGUAAAACAUGCCAAUUGUGUGCGUAGGUGUGACUGUCUCUACUUGUAAGUUUUGAAUACGAGGGAAGACACGACGGGUUUAUAUUUGACUCGUAAAUACAUGUUCAAGGUCAUUUCUUGAUCGUUAUAAGUUCACGUCUGUUUAUGCGUAGAUCACCCCCCUCUUAUUCUUGUACUCGUAUGUUAGCCACUCAAAUAAAUGCUUAGUUGCUUGCUGCAGCUAACCAUACCUCACAAAUUAAGCUCUGCUAGUCUUGGUACCUUUGGAAAUGAGAUUGUUGAGUCCCUGUGGCUCACACAUUACUACAACAACAGUUGCAGGUACAGGUAAAUCGAUACUUUGACGUGACCGCGAUGAUUGUGCUAUUUGGAGUUUUUUCCACUUCUUCUUCUUCUUUGAUCAUAUGAUGGGUUUCAAGCCGGCAGUACGGGAUAGCCAGGAUGGACGUCAUUUUAUUUGGUUGAUUUUGUCCAUAGUCGGACACCGCUCUUCUGAAUGUGAUUGAAUGUAUUUUGUAUUGAGAUGAUCAUGAUUAGGUUGUGGCGAGUGUAAGCUAAUUCCAUAUACUCAUCUCUUCUUUACAUGUACUUGUAACGAUAUCCAUUCUUGUGAAAUAAUGAGAUGCGCUUCUAUC